AGUACAGCUGUAGCCCAUCACAUCCCCAACCUACUGCUCCCGGAGCCGGUCAUUUGAGUAUGGAGAGACGACGGCUUGAGAUGAACUCAAGAACUUGCUCUUUGAAAGCGGCAAUGUCAAGAAAUUGAAGGCACUAUUUGGCUCACCCAUGAGAAGCGCAAAAUAUAAUACAUGGAGGUGGGCUAUCUCGAACACCACUUUUUUUUUCAAUGCAUCAUGACCACAUUUACUAGAAAACUUGAUGAUGUCAUA
Lolium rigidum is the source of this 252-nucleotide long non-coding RNA. RefSeq lists it as uncharacterized. Lineage: Eukaryota; Viridiplantae; Streptophyta; Magnoliopsida; Poales; Poaceae. The record is from RefSeq and is a predicted model, not a curated record. The transcript has 3 exons.